Molecule: unclassified non-coding RNA, 222 nt
Filed under: uncultured Alphaproteobacteria bacterium
Lineage: Bacteria; Pseudomonadati; Pseudomonadota; Alphaproteobacteria
Description: contains 16S-23S intergenic spacer region
Source: RNAcentral
UCCGGCUUGUCGCCGGCGGUCCCUCUAGAGUGCCCAACUGAAUGAUGGCAACUAAAGGCGAGGGUUGCGCUCGUUGCGGGACUUAACCCAACAUCUCACGACACGAGCUGACGACAGCCAUGCAGCACCUGUCUCUGCGCCCCUUGCGGGGACCGUGCAUCUCUGCACGUAGCACAGGAUGUCAAACCCCGGUAAGGUGGGGAUGACGUAAGCCUAUCGAGA